Molecule: long non-coding RNA, 1011 nt
Filed under: Gallus gallus (chicken)
Lineage: Eukaryota; Metazoa; Chordata; Aves; Galliformes; Phasianidae
Description: lncRNA (ENSGALG00010028330.1)
Source: RNAcentral
CAUCUGGUGAUUUCACAUGGACAGCAAAAGCAAAAUGGUUUUAAGAUGAAGGAGGGAAGAUUUAGGUUGGAUGUCAGGGGGAAGUCCUUUACUAUGGGAGUGGUGAGGUGGUGGAACAGCUGCCCAGAGAGGCUGUGGAUGUCCUCCCCUGGAGGUGUUGAAGGGGCCCUGGGCAGCCUGGUGUGGUAUUAAAUGUGGAGGUUGGUGGCCCUGCCUGUGGCAGGGUGUUGGAGCUUCAUGAUCCUUGAGGUCCCUUCCAACCCAAGCUGCUCUAUGGUUCUAUGAAAUGUAGGGUGGAAGGAACAUAAUGUUCAAGGGUGUUUAUUGCUGGUAUGAGAAGGUGGAACUCUUGCUUUAAUACCUGUUAGUUGUGUUAGUGUUAUGGGAGGAGCACAAGUACAAACUACAGGAUUAUUCUUUUCAAAGUAAGCUCAGCUGUUUCAUUCAUGUUUUUAAGUGGGUCAGUGAAGGCACGGAUGUUUGAUCAGAGGUGAUGGAUGAGUGACACAGGAACACACUCUGCAGCCUUGUUUUCCAAAGCAGUGCCAGAUGUGAAUCAGAGGAAUUGACCCCAGAGAUACAGUUCCUGGGGUGCUGUGUUGCUGCUGUGCCAUGAAGAAGGAAGAGAUUCACAAAGGAGUGUUUCUGAGACGCCGUGGCUGCACUGUACAAACCCAUGCGCUGGAGCUGCAGCCACGUCAUCAUCUGCUCUCCUCUGCCGGUGCUCUGAAGUCCAACACCGAUAGUUUCAGAGGACCACAGCAGGGAACACCUCCCUCCAGAAGUCCAAUGGAAGCCUAUUCCGUGUGAACUUACUGAGCUGUGUGCCUGGGGAGCGGCAGAAGAUACCCACAUUCAUUGACUUCCUGCCAGCGGUGUCCUUCAGUGUCGAUUCACACACUGUGCUUUGGGCUGCCUAUGGCACUGCCAGGCGCUGUGCAGGGGCUGCCCGGUGCUGAAGGGACAGCUGUUGGUUUUCUUCCCUGCCGUCUGUUGGGGUAUAUCGGGAUU